Molecule: long non-coding RNA, 1001 nt
Organism: Penaeus monodon (black tiger shrimp)
Lineage: Eukaryota; Metazoa; Arthropoda; Malacostraca; Decapoda; Penaeidae
Exons: 3
Source: RefSeq, a predicted model, not a curated record
UUGGCCGUCAGCGUCUUGAGGUGAGGUCCGUGGCAAACAUCAUCACGGACUGUGGUAGGGAAGCAGCAGGAGCUACAUCAGUGUUCCAGAAGGAUCCGAGACAGGCUCCCCAAUACUCCCAAGAUUCAACACGUUUACAGGGUGUGGCUGCACAUCUACAUUUUAAGAAAGACACAACUAACAAUUUUGUAGAUAUGUUCAUCAGCAUGGGAGAAAUCACCGAUGGCGUUGAAGUUGAUGUUGUUGAUGGUCUGCAGGUGUAUGUUUAGCACAAGACAACAGAUGCUAAUGAGGCUCGUUACAUCAAGAUGCUGGAAAUGACUGGAAAACCUGACAAGACAGCAGAUUCACAAGCAGGUGAUUUGAUGCUGCCAGAAUAUGGGUGGCAGCUCAAAGGGAACUGAUUACAACUGACCUGAUUUGGGAACCCUAUCACUCCAGACAAUUUGUUUAGAAUGCCUGAGCCUGAAGAUGAGGGUGACAGUGACUGUGAGGAAACAGUUAUUACAGCGGUGAUGACGCUGACAUCUAACAAGAAAAUAUAAAUAUACUAAUUGAUUCUGAUGAUGAUCCGUGGAGUGAGGAACUCGAGUCAGAUCAGGAAGAUGACACGCAGUGAAUUCUUGACUGCAGCUGAAUGAUUUGAUAUGACUAUUGCCAAUUAGAAAGGUCUCUGUUUAUAUCCACAUAUCGUUAAAAAACUCUUUGAAUCUACUGUAAAUUUUCCAGAUAUUUCACUGCCCUAAACAUUUUGCAUGUUGUUCAGUCGGUUACGCAAUGAGCUGAUUUAUCUUAGCUUAUGAAUGCUGUCCUUUUGGGAUGUCUGUUGCAUGCCCCACCACUGAAAAUGUCUGGCUUUGGUAUUUUCUUAUACUGCUGAUAUCAUGGCAUCAUUUGAUGUUGAUCCUAAGCUGAUCUAGUUUGAUUUUUAUGUUCCAGUUUCUUGGCUCUGUCAAGGGUACCCCACCAAUGAAAACAUCUAACAUUUAUCAUUUCUAAUA